RNAcentral lists this ribosomal RNA (774 nucleotides) under uncultured Neocallimastigales. Its description in RNAcentral is "partial large subunit ribosomal RNA". It matches the Rfam family "Eukaryotic large subunit ribosomal RNA", at positions 26 to 644 of the family's 3401-position model. The record is from RNAcentral. Lineage: Eukaryota; Fungi; Neocallimastigomycota; Neocallimastigomycetes; Neocallimastigales.
CGUCUAUAUACGUAUAGCAUAUCAAUAAGCGGAGGAAAAGAAACUAACAAGGAUUCCCCUAGUAACGGCGAGUGAAGCGGGAAGAGCUCAAAUUUGAAAUCUUAAAGGGUUUCCUUUACGAAUUGUAGUUUAAAGAAGUGUUUUCUGUUGGAGUUUCGGUAAAAGUUCUUUGGAAUAGGACAUCAUAGAGGGUGAGAAUCCCGUAUUUGACCGUUACUUUCCAGCUGUGUGAUACACUUUCAAAGAGUCGGAUUGUUUGGGAAUGCAGUCCAAAAUGGGUGGUAAAUUUCAUCUAAAGCUAAAUAUUGGCGAGAGACCGAUAGCGAACAAGUACCGUGAGGGAAAGAUGAAAAGAACUUUGAAAAGAGAGUUAAACAGUACGUGAAAUUGUCAAAAGGGAAGCGUUUGACACCAGUGUUGUUUUUCCGAAAAUCAAUUACGAAUGUUUUGUUUUUAAGAAGUUAUGACUUCAUCGGCUUGCUUCUUUCUUUACGAAACUUUCUUAAUGCACUUUUCGGUUAACAAGUCAACAUCAAUUUCUUUUGUUGUAAAAGGGUAUGAGGAAGGUGGCUUUCUUUUCGGAGAAAGUGUUUAUAGCCUUGUACCUCUGCAAUCGGAGAGAUUGAGGUCUGCAGCGUAGAUCCUUCGGGGUUAGAUACAUUUGUGCUAAGUUAUAGCUUUUCAUAGACAACUUGUUGACUAUGUUUAGUCUUGUAGCUUACUCGCUUAUGCUAUUUUACCUACGCUUAGGAUGUUGAUAGUCACAGCGUGUAC